CCUACGGGCGGCAGCAGUGGGGGAUAUUGCACAAUGGGGGGAACCCUGAUGCAGCGACGCCGCGUGGGUGAAGGAGCGUUUCGGCGCGUAAAGCCCUAUCGGCAGGGAAGAAGAUGACGGUACCUGGCCAAGAAUCCCCGGCUAACUACGUGCCAGCAGCCGCGGAAAUACGUAGGGGGCAAGCGUUAUCCGGAUUUACUGGGUGUAAAGGGGGCGCAGACGGCAAUGCAAGCCAGUAGUGAAAGCCCGGGCCCAACCCCGGGACUGCGCUUGGAACUGCAUGGCUGGAGUACAGGAGGGGCAGGUGGAAUGCCUAGUGUAGCGGUGAAAUGCGUAGAUAUUAGGAGGAACACCGGUGGCGAAGGCGGCCUGCUGGACUGUGACUGACGUUGAGGCCCGAAGGCGUGGGGAGCAAACAGGAUUAGAUACCCGAGUAGUC
RNAcentral lists this ribosomal RNA (439 nucleotides) under uncultured bacterium. RNAcentral describes it as "partial 16S ribosomal RNA". It matches the Rfam family "Bacterial small subunit ribosomal RNA", at positions 338 to 795 of the family's 1533-position model. The record is from RNAcentral.